GUUUGGCGUUGAAGUGUUGCAGAGCAGCAUGAGAUGAAGUAGUUUGCUCAAGAACCAACGCAUAACCCGGUCUAGGAAUUGAAACCACGAUCUCUCGAUCAUGAGUGCAACACCCUAACCACUUAUCCAU
Molecule: long non-coding RNA, 130 nt
Organism: Octopus sinensis (East Asian common octopus)
Lineage: Eukaryota; Metazoa; Mollusca; Cephalopoda; Octopoda; Octopodidae
Exons: 3
Source: RefSeq, a predicted model, not a curated record